Molecule: ribosomal RNA, 235 nt
Filed under: Upeneus moluccensis (goldband goatfish)
Lineage: Eukaryota; Metazoa; Chordata; Actinopteri; Syngnathiformes; Mullidae
Description: partial 16S ribosomal RNA
Source: RNAcentral
AUGUCCUGAUCCAACAUCGAGGUCGUAAACCCCCUUGUCGAUAUGAACUCUCAGAGGGGAUUGCGCUGUUAUCCCUAGGGUAACUCGGUCCGUUGAUCGGCACUGCCGGAUCUUAUUGGUCAGAAGUUCUGUUAGUUAGAACUGCGGUUCUUGCUUUUAGGAGAGGAUCUCCCAGUCCACAUGGGGGUUGUUUGUUACCCCACGGUCGCCCCAACCAAAGACAUAGGGGCAGGUU